ACUGCUCAGUAACACGUGGAUAAUCUGCCCUCAGGUGAGGAAUAAUCCCGGGAAACUGGGGCUAAUGCCUCAUAGGAGACGGGUGCUGGAAUGCUCUGACUCCGAAAGGUCCGCCGCCUGAGGAUGAGUCUGCGUCCGAUUAGGUUGUUGUUGGGGUAACGGCCCAACAAGCCUUUGAUCGGUACGGGUUGUGGGAGCAAGAGCCCGGAGAUGGAUUCUGAGACAUGAAUCCAGGCCCUACGGGGCGCAGCAGGCGCGAAAACUUUACAAUGCGAGCAAUCGUGAUAAGGAAACCCUGAGUGCCUGUCAAUGCAGGCUGUUCUGGUGUCUAACACACACCAGGAGAAAGGGCGGGGCAAGACCGGUGCCAGCCGCCGCGGUAAUACCGGCUGCUCGAGUGAUAGCCACUUUUACUGGGCUUAAAGCGUUCGUAGCUUGGUCGUUAAGUCUCUGGGGAAAUCUUUUGGCUCAACCAAAAGGCGUCUCAGGGAAACUGACGAUCUUGGAACCGGGAGAGGUAAGACGUACUUCGGGGGUAGGAGUGAAAUCUUGUAAUCCCCGAGGGACGACCGAUGGCGAAGGCAUCUUACCAGAACGGCUUCGACAGUGAGGGACGAAAGCUGGGGGAGCAAACCGGAUUAGAUACCCGGGUAGUCCCAGCCGUAAACGAUGUGCGUUAGGUGUGUCAGUGACCACGAGUCGCUGAGGUGCCGAAGGGAAACCGUGAAACGCACCGCCUGGGAAGUACGGUCGCAAGGCUGAAACUUAAAGGAAUUGGCGGGGGAGCAC
RNAcentral lists this ribosomal RNA (789 nucleotides) under Methanocalculus sp. enrichment culture clone L35A_9. RNAcentral's name for it is "bacterial SSU rRNA". It matches the Rfam family "Archaeal small subunit ribosomal RNA", at positions 85 to 879 of the family's 1478-position model. The record is from RNAcentral. Lineage: Archaea; Methanobacteriati; Methanobacteriota; Methanomicrobia; Methanomicrobiales; Methanocalculaceae.